RNAcentral lists this long non-coding RNA (1534 nucleotides) under Gossypium barbadense (sea-island cotton). RNAcentral describes it as "long non-coding RNA (GBAR_LNC007699)". Lineage: Eukaryota; Viridiplantae; Streptophyta; Magnoliopsida; Malvales; Malvaceae. The record is from RNAcentral.
AGCAACUAAUUAAAUCUUAACCCGACAUCGGCCGAACUUGAUCAGCUAAUAAAGUUUCCACUGUAUCCAAGGGAUCAUCGUAUACUUGAAAACUUAAAAUUCCGAGAGUAUAACAUUUAGCCAUACAAUCAAUAAUUUCAUUAUGAAUUUUUGGAAUAUGAUGAAUCUUUACUCUUCAACUCUUCUCAAAAUUUGAUGCAGCAAAUAUAACUCUACCAGACUGCUAUUGUCUCUCCCAUCAAUCGAAAAUAUGUUCAACAAUUGUUGGGAUGAAAAUAGGUUUUUAAUUAAAUAAAUUUAAUUUGGACUGCUGUAAGAACUCAAAUUUACCCGGGCCUAAAACCAUUAACCAGCCCAAACAAAAAAACAACAUAAAAACGAAAGCCCAAAUACAAAAAUUACCAGUCCAGAGUCCAAAAUACAAGUCCAAAUUUUUGCAGACCCAAAACUAAAAAAACUUAGCCCAAAGAUAACAAGCCCAUGUACCUAAACAUUUUUUACAGAAGCCUAAACCCUAAUUUUAUGUGCGCCGCACCUAUGCCCUCCUCGGCCACGUCGCCUGCACCUCGUCCCGAGGCUCGUCUGCAAGCUUGCACCGAAAUGGAAAAAGAAACCUUUCUCCCCUCCAUUGACUAAGCGCCGACCCUGCAAAAAGAAGAAAGAGAGACAGAAACAAGGAUAAUAGAAAUAGUAGCAUAAACGGAAUCAUGAACAGCACCAAUAGUGAAAUAAACAGUAGAAUAGGAAGUUUUUAUUUGGCUAUAAAAGCCAGAAAGAUCAAUGUAUUAAAAAAAAAAGGAGAAGAUUAAGCAAUCAAAAAAGCAAAAACAAAAAAGGUUGAUUUUAAAUAUCAUUUACUUGUUCUUUUUCUUUCGGAUUUCCCCUUUUUUAUUUAUUUUUCUGCUUUUUAAAUUUAUUUUUUGACAAAAAUAUAAAGGAGAGGAGAAGAGGAAGUUUACCCAAACCCCGGGGUCCCGUCCGUCUUCGAAAUCGGGCUCAAAAGGGGAGGAGAGACUUUCUUCUCUUGAUGUUUUCGGGCUAAAGAGAUGGCUUUUAAAACCGUCUACAGUGGAGGAGCGGCGGUCAUGGCGAUGGUGGCGAUGAUGGGUUAAGAAACCCUAGCAGAGAAAGAAAUGGGGAGAAGGGGGGUUGCUCUCUCUGUUUUUUGCAGAAGAAAAGGGAUGAAAUAAAAAAAAUGAAAAUUUUAGUUUAAAUAGCAGUGCACAAACGGUGCCGUUUUGCACUAGGGGUACCAGCAUUGAAACGACGCCGUUUAAGGCGACCUGCGCGCGACCCGACUAGUUCCAAGGGGGAUACGUGUGUUUCUAAAAAGGGUUAUUUACAAUCCAUGUCCCUCCACAUUUUUAUUUGUCUUUAUUUAAUCCGUUUGUUUAUUUUCCCUUUAUUUUUAAAUUUAGCCACACAAAUCUGCUCGAUUCUCAUUUCGGUCCCUGACCCGUGGACGCAAUGGGUAAUGGACACGUGUCCAGAAGCAGGAUUUUUGCCCAUCAAGUCUUCAGAUCUUGUGUUUUUU